RNAcentral lists this long non-coding RNA (890 nucleotides) under Olea europaea subsp. europaea. The record is from RNAcentral. Lineage: Eukaryota; Viridiplantae; Streptophyta; Magnoliopsida; Lamiales; Oleaceae.
UUUGAGUCAAGUUUUUCAUUACUAAGUUUCUGCAUCAAACUCUAACAUCAUAUUCUACUUCUUCUUGGUUUACGAGAAAUUUGUCUAACAACAUUAAGACGUCAUUUUGAUUUCUGCGAUGACACCAUUUUUGUCUUCUCAGUGAGAUUUUGCAAUAGACUUUGUCAUGGUCAAAUAUUUCCAUGGAGCAAAUUCUAGAAGAUGACAAAUCAAGUUUCAUUUGUAAAUGACAACAGUAAAUAUGGUUUACAUUUGUUAGACAUCAUGUUGUCAAACGACCUCUCGGACUAUAAUAUAAACCAGUUUUAUCAGUCGACAUGAAUGACUGAACGAUAAAUCAACACCGAAUAAUGGGAUGACCCGACUUAACGUUGUUUUACCUAUUGGAUGGCUAAUAAACCUUUGUGACUUGUUGGUAUGCUAUUGGGCCAUAACCCUAGUCGAGCCUACUUACCAUAUGUAUAACUUACCUUAGUUUGUCAUUGAUUUACAAUAUAUAUUGGUAAUUCUCAUGUCCCAUUUUUGUGUGAAAAACCCGAGAGAGAGAGAGAGGCAGUCUUCUUCUUCUUCGUGCAUCCUACUGAUUGAUCUUCUCUACCUCUUGCUUGUGUCUUUGUGACCCUUACUUGUGUGGUAUUCAUCCUUUGUGAGUGAGCAAACAAUAAGCAAAAGGAAGAAAAGCAACCAUAGGUAGAACUUGGCGGCGGAGGCGGGUACCUUCGAUUUUGGUGUUGAUUCGGUGUUUUAAAGGUUAACUGAGCCCGGAAAUCAUCUUGAGCAGUUAGAGAAAGAUCCUAACAACAUUGUUACCUCUUCAAAGCCCGAAUGGACGGAGGAGGAAACAUGAAGUCUUAUUGAAGAAAAUGAAAUAUUCCUUAGCUCAAUUUCUG